Molecule: ribosomal RNA, 459 nt
Filed under: uncultured bacterium
Lineage: Bacteria
Description: partial 16S ribosomal RNA
Rfam family: Bacterial small subunit ribosomal RNA
Source: RNAcentral
CCUACGGGUGGCAGCAGUGAGGAAUAUUGGUCAAUGGGAGAGAUCCUGAACCAGCCAAGCCGCGUGAGGGAAGACGGCCCUAUGGGUUGUAAACCUCUUUUGUCGGAGAACAAAACCCUGCACGUGUCCCGGUCUACGUGUAUCCGACGAAAAAGCAUCCGCAAACUCCGUGCCCGCAGCCGCCGUAAUACGGAGGAUGCGAGCGUUAUCCGGAUUUAGUGGGUUUAAAGGGUGCGUAGGCGGUCCUUUAAGUCAGCGGUAAAAUUGCGGGGCUAAACCCCGUCGAGCCGUUGAAACUGGCAGACUUGAGUUGGCGAGAAGUACGCGGAAUGCGCGGUGUAGCGGUGAAAUGCAUAGAUAGCGCGCAGAACUCCGAUUGCGAAGGCAGCGUACCGGCGCCAGACUGACGCUGAGGCACGAAAGCGUGGGGAUCGAACAGGAUUAGAUACCCGUGUAGUC